UUGCAGCCUGUGAGAGAUUCCCUUCUGCUAUUUCCUGGCUUUUCUGGGGAGGGGGCAAAUGUAGCCCAGAGGUCUCUUCCUUUAGUAGUCCAGUGUAGAGUAGCUGGGACCUGCUGCCAUGUGCACCCCACUACCGUUGGACAACUCUGAAUUGGAUUGUGAAUAGUAGAAUUUCAUCUUUCAUUUCUUGAGACCUUCAAAAGGUGAGCCCUCAAAGGUGGAAGGCCCUUGAGCAGAUGCCUAGGAGGGAAGAUGCUGCUUACAGGGUGUCCCUCUCACCCUUUCGGGGAGGACCUUGCCAAUCUGUGGUACUUUUUGCUCUGAAGAAUACGAAGGAAGUAGUUAGAGGAGGUGAUAAGCCAGUGAAUCUGUUAUCUUCCAUGCAAAGUGCAGAGCAGGUCCCCAAAUGUGGAGUGGGUUGUUCUGAAACAUGCCAUGAAGGAGGGCACAGGCCGGCAAGUUCCCCCUCAGCAUCAAGGAGCAGUGGGUACCAGGGCAGGAGGAGAGCUGCUCCUUUCCCUGGGCCCCCAGCGAAUACCUGCUAGUAGAGUGCCACGUUAGCUGCCACGUGGCAGGAAUGCCAUCCCCUGGGACACCAGGCCAUGAAAUGGCUCCAGUUGGGCAAACAGGAGGAAAACUGGGCAAAUUUCCUGGCUGGAUGGGUUUUAGUGGGGCAGGUGGGAAGGUGAGGAAUGGCUGGAUGUGGCGGUUGGAACAACAGUGCCAGUUGCAAAUCUGCCACCCGCACUUGACAUCUAGCACUUGUCAGUACCCUGAUGUCUGGCUGCAUGUAAGGAACCCUCGGGAUAAAUACAACCAUCUUCCCACCUGGAGUACAUAACCGCCCCUCCAACCCUUCAAGGAAUUCCCAUCUGCCCAAGAUCUGCCCAGAUGUGUUCGUUCUGGGUAAAAUUCUGCCUUCUUUUGCUCUCACACAAUCCUAGUUCUCCAAAAUUGCUUUUGCACAGGUGUGAGGGCAGAAUUGGGCCCACUCUGUUUAAUAUAUAAAUAUAUAUAUAUAAAACAAAUAUAUUUUAUUUAUAUAUGCAAUCCAGUAAAGGAGAUUAAACAGAGUAGGAUGCCUAGUGAUCUGUUACCCAGUCUCCUCCUCCUUCCUUGACUGUUCUCUUGUAUGUAUACAGCACAUUCCCAGGUUCCGGUUUAUGCAGGUAUGCGUGUAUGAAACGUCAUUAAUGGUGGUUGGUCUACAUAUUCGUCUAAUAAAUAAUAACUAAUAUUGUGUAUGUAAUAUCAAUACAGAAAUGACUACUUUUAAUAGAAUUAACUCUUCGGCUUUCGUUCUGUUAGUGUGAUUUAAACAAGCCAACAACGUUCGGAAUAGGUUGUUUUUCCUUAAGAGGCAUGAAAAGCAUCUAUUAUCGUGUUACAAUGUUAAAAUAUUCAGUCUUCUUUGACAGAAAAACGUGUACUGUGUAGGCAUUGCAGCAACAAAAUAGAAAAAGUGAAAAAAAACCCCACCUGCUCCACGGCAUUUGACUUUUUACGGAUGUUUAUUGUGCCAAAUAUGUGCAAAGAUAUAAUUUACUGGUUUAAAAAAGUCAUCGAAGCGUCUGCUAGAGCACACAAAGAAUUAUUUUGUCAUCGAGUGAUUUCAAUCUUCAGUGUUUAUAUUUAGAUUAAUUUUUAUAAAUGAAAAUAUUUUACUGGGCAAAAUGAGGACUAGAUGAUCUAUUUGAUUAAGUCUGAGUGAAUAUUAAGCUUGCCUUGUUGUUGUUAUCUGCAUACUCACCAAGAACUGUCGUCAAGAGGAAUUAUAAAAGAGUAAAAGUGGUUUAUGAACA
RNAcentral lists this long non-coding RNA (1802 nucleotides) under Strigops habroptila (Kakapo). Its description in RNAcentral is "lncRNA (ENSSHBG00005001889.1)". The record is from RNAcentral. Lineage: Eukaryota; Metazoa; Chordata; Aves; Psittaciformes; Psittacidae.